UCCUGGCACUCUGGGAGGAGGGCUCGGUAUAUAGGAGCCAUUGGCAUCACAUCUGUCAGACUGGCGCUCAGAGCUGGGGCAAUGGGAAAUGAGGGCACCCAGGAGGCAGGGAGGAGGGGCAGGGAUGUGUGACUGAUACUGCUGUUCCUCUAGCAGCUCCCGCUCAGAAAUGAUGGGCUAUGAGGUGGUUAGUUUUCUUCCAGCCUGGGAAAGUAAAAUGGUGGAGACAGUAGCCUAGAAAGUGCCAAGGAAGAGUCUAAGAGCUAGGGAGGAGGAAUUGCGCCACCGCUACCCAGGGAGAACUCAUUUGGGCUGGCAAUCUGGCCCUUUGUGAGAACAUGGAAGGAGGCAGCAAGGUGACCGGGCUGUGAGGUGGGGUGGGCACUGGCACUACCCAUGGAGCCUGGCACAAGCUCUGGAUUGUAUGGAGUGGGGAAGGGAGGCAGUGCCUCUUGCCAGUCUAGUUGAGAGGGUUGUGCUAGGAAUGAGAAGGGAGGAGGCAGAUGUUGUAUGUGUGUGUUUGUGUGUAUGUGGGGGGGGGGUGUUUGGGAGAAGAGACUUUUUUCUGCCAGGACCUCCUUCCCAUUCCUUCUUAGGCUUGGGGAAUGGAGCAACAGAUGGAGAGAGGCAUGAGGACACAAAGGAAGAAGCGCACCAUUUCUAGGACCCCAAGGAAGAAGGAUGGAGAGCCGUUGGCAGUCCUGCCUAGCCCUCAGCCAGUUCCCUGAUGAAGAUGGCCAAAUCCUCUUGCCUGCAUCUCUGGAUGGCAGCUUCAGAAGCAGCAAGGUGGUUUCCACGCAGAGGAGAAAGCAGUGAGGUGCUCAGCCAAGGGGCAACCUUAUUUUGCAGAUGAGGAAACCAAGAAACAGAAAGGUUGAGUAAGCUGCUGAUUAGACAAGGUGGUGAAACUAGAAAGGACUGCUGGACACUCAUGACAGAGCCAGACCUCAAAGUCAUGGCCUGGGCUCCUCCAUCCAGCUGGAUUGUCCGUCAGACAUGGCACAGGCAAAAUGAGCCUCCAAAAGACUAAAAGUCAGGAUUCCUGGGCUGCCUCCAGCUGACUGGAAGCACCAAGGCUCCCAGUGGUAGAAGAACAUGACUUUUGGAUUCAUGCAGACCCAGGCUCAAGCCUGGCUCCACGCACUAACUGCAUAACCUUGGUAAACUACUUACUGAGCCUCAGUUUCCUAUCUGCAAAAAUGGGAAUAAUAAUACCUUUCUGACUGGGAUGUGGGGAAGAUGACAACAGGUGAGAUAACAUGUAACAAAGUGCAUAUACUGGGUAUUCACUGAGGUUCUUUUCCUUCUUUCUUGGCUGUUUCCUCCAAUAGAGUGCACAGGCUGGCAACUCCUUCUGCCUUGUCCCUUCCUUGGCUGAACUCAUCCUCUAAUUUCUGCUCUUUUCAAUCGAGGGCAGACUCUUAAGCAGACACGAUUUAAAUUUAGUCUACCUAGCAGGAAGUUCAUGUCUCAUUUGGUCUUUUGAGAAAGCCCCACUAUCCCAGAGCAGAGGCUGGACACUGCCCAGGCUCACACUCAGACUGAGUGCAGAAGCAGCCAACACCUGAAUCAAAACUAUUAUGUCCUCUCCCUGCCUCUAAAACUAUUGUUUUCUGUCUCUAAAUAUCACCUCCUAUACUUAAAAAGAAAGCAAAAAACAGUAAUCCUAUCACUCUAUUUUUAUUCUACCUCUCUGUCCUGCAAAUGUUGAGGGAAUACUUACUUUGUGUAAGUUUUGCCCAAAAGAGAGGGAGAAAGUGAGUAUGGCAGGUUAAGAGUAUUUAUGGAGAUGGGGGGAGGAAAAGGAGUGUCAAAGAGGGCAAAGAGAGAGAUAGCCAAGGCAAAGAGGAGGGAGGAAGAAAGGAUGUAGUGGUAGUGGAGCAAGGAGAGGGUAAAGAAGCUGGAUCUUGAUGUGCAUUAGUAAAUAUUUAAUCUCAUCAAGGCCUCCCAGCUCUGGCACCAGACUGGGCAGGUGGCCUGUCCCUGGUGAGAGGGAUGAAGCAAGCAGGCUGUGUGUUACACCUUGCAAGAUGUUUCAGGUGGGUGUGAGGGAACUGUGUAAGGAGAAAAGGAGACAGGAGAAGAAGGGGGUGGGUAGGGAGGAGGUGGGUAGAAGGAAAGCUGUGGACUAAAACCACAACCAGUGUAUUGAACAUACGUCCACAUUUGCAUGGAUUUGUGGCAUGUGCUGCAGGGUGUCUACUGCUGGUGGGGUGGGUGUCCUGGUGAGAAGCCUCUCUGCCCAUGCAGCCUCCUUGAAGACCGAGUUAGGACAACAGCGUGGAGCUGUUCUGUUGCACGGAUCUGUGUGAUCAUGAAUAAAAGUUUAUUGUAGGUACACUGGAGACAUGUGAUAGAGGUGCUCUUGUGCUCACAUAUCUCAGUUUUAGACAAACACACAAAACCAGCUCUGAACCCUUCUUUUAUAUGAGCACUUGGGAGUGAGGGGACAGGGAGUUGUGUCCUUGAAUUCAGAUUCAGGAUCAUAUCUGAUCCUGACUUGGGGGGACCUCUGUAGAAGAGACCUUUGAUCUCCCUGAACUUGAAGAAAUCAUGUGCAAUUCUAUAAUUGUUUGAAGGAUACUAUUAUCAGUGACUGUAUAUAAAUAAAUCUUUCAGUUCUUUGAUUCUACAGGAAUCCAUGUGAUAUGAUGACUCCAUUUAAAUAUUAUUACAACAUCAGCACAACUAAUAAUUAUUGUAUUAAUAAUAAUAAUAGCUACCAUCUUUUGAAUUCUUACCAUGUGGCGGACAUGCUGUUGGAAGCAUCACAUCACCCAACCCCCCACCCAGAUCCCCAAUCUGAUGAGACAGAUACAGCUAUUCAUUCCCAUUUACAUAUGUGCAAAUGGACUAACAGGGGCUAAAUAAUUUUUAAGGUCUUCCAUUUAGAAAGAAGUAGAGUCAUGAUUGGGAGUCAGGUAGCCUGAUCCCAAUACCUCUGUUCUUGGGUUAAUUUGUAAGAUUCUGAACUCUGGCUGGUUUGCAUUUUGAGUGAGUUCUUUUGAGUUUGAGUGGGCUACUCUGCCCUUAUGGUGUCACCUUGAGCACAUGUGCUGUCAAGCUCCUCCUGGAGCUUGAAGGUGCUAGAUGGGCCUCUCCCAGUUAGUUUCUUAGUAUAAAAUGGGCGAGAACAGGAUCCAAGCUUUGUGCAACUCCAGGGGGCGCCAUUCACAUUACAGUCUAUGCAGUGGUCUUGGCCAUCCCUUCUGUGUGUGUGGGGGGAGGUACAGAGAGGGAGAGAGGACAAGUACACACAGGUAGGGUUAUUUGAUGAUGAUGUGUGUGCCCAUUUGUGAUAAUGUCUCCUAAAGCUGAAAGUCAACACAAAGGUAUCCUUAUUAGCAUAUGAACAUUAUCAGAUAAGCAGUAAGUAUUAUUUUGAAACACAGCCUUUAGAGUCAGACAGACCUGGAGUCAAAUUCCAGUUCAAUUCCCUAAUAUGUAAAUGUCCUCAGAUGGGUCACUUAAUUCUCUAAGCGUCAGUUUCUUCAUCUAUUGAAUGGGGAAUAUUAUCUCAUGAAGUUAGGUCAAUUGAGAUGAUUGUUAUUAAGAUUGGCACUUUGUAAGUGAUCAAUAAAUGAAAAGGAUAAUUAC
This is a long non-coding RNA of Choloepus didactylus (southern two-toed sloth), 3597 nucleotides long. RefSeq lists it as uncharacterized. The record is from RefSeq and is a predicted model, not a curated record. The transcript is spliced from 4 exons. NCBI's taxonomy places the organism in Eukaryota, Metazoa, Chordata, Mammalia, Pilosa, Megalonychidae.